UUAAAAAGCUCGUAGUUGGAUUUCUGUGAGAGUAUGAUGUCCUAACGUGUUUAGAGCGCAGAAAACUCUUGCAUCCUUCUGUUACCUCCACGUGGCAUUCGCUUGCCAGUGGUUGGCUCAGAGAAUUUACCUUGAGAAAAUUAGAGUGUUUCAGGCAGGCUUAGUCGGAAUACAUUAGCAUGGAAUAAUAGAAUAGGACUCCGGUCUCGUUGUUGGUUUGAGGGACUGUAGUAAUGAUAAAUAGGGAUAGUUGGGGGCAUUAGUAUUCGGUUGUCAGAGGUGAAAUUCUCAGAUUUAUUGAAGACUAACUUAUGCGAAAGCAUAUGCCAAGGAUGUUUUCAUUAAUCAAGAACGAAAGUUAGGGGAUCAAAGACGAUCAGAUACCGUC
Molecule: ribosomal RNA, 388 nt
Filed under: uncultured eukaryote
Lineage: Eukaryota
Description: SSU rRNA
Rfam family: Eukaryotic small subunit ribosomal RNA
Source: RNAcentral